AUAUAUUAAAAGAAAAAAAGAGUAAUCACUGGGCUGGGGUUGUGUCCCAGUGAUAAUUUUGAAUUUGAAACAAGAUGAAUUUUCAAAGA
This 89-nucleotide long non-coding RNA is filed under the name Ictidomys tridecemlineatus (thirteen-lined ground squirrel). RNAcentral's name for it is "lncRNA (ENSSTOG00000031902.1)". The record is from RNAcentral. Lineage: Eukaryota; Metazoa; Chordata; Mammalia; Rodentia; Sciuridae.